RNAcentral lists this ribosomal RNA (253 nucleotides) under uncultured bacterium. Its description in RNAcentral is "partial 16S ribosomal RNA". It matches the Rfam family "Bacterial small subunit ribosomal RNA", at positions 524 to 776 of the family's 1533-position model. The record is from RNAcentral.
UACGAAGGGGGCUAGCGUUGCUCGGAAUUACUGGGCGUAAAGCGAGUGUAGGCGGUUUGGUAAGUCGGAUGUGAAAGCCCCGGGCUCAACCCGGGAAGUGCACUCGAUACUGCCAAGCUAGAGUAUCGGAGAGGUUGGUGGAAUUCUCGGUGUAGAGGUGAAAUUCGUAGGUAUCGAGAGGAACACCGGUGGCGAAGGCGGCCAACUGGACGAAUACUGACGCUGAGACUCGAAAGCGUGGGGAGCAAACAGG